AUGCUGCAGAGGCGCCGGUGUCUUUCAGAAACGGUGACGGAGGCAGAACACAACAAGCUGAUCCAUUCCCGGCCUCCUAUUGUCCCACAGCGGCCGACUGUGCUGCAGACGCACCGCCGCCAUGUGCAUGCUCGUUUAAAGGCUCGCGGAGGUGCUGGAGACAGCCGGGGCCAUGGGGUCAGCGCCCGUGGAGGAUGGGCUCCGUCUGUUCACGGCCGAGGUUUCCACACCUGUCCGGCCCCCCUGCCGCUCCACGCCUCCACUCUCAAGUGCAGACGCAGAAUCAACAGCAGAAAUGGAAGUUCUGUGCCGACGAAGCAGCUCCGGCCGGCGGCCAAUAAACCCAUAAUGAGGUGGAAUGAGACGCACGGAUCCAAAGCAAGUAUUCCUCCUGAUAUUCAGCAGGAGAUAAUUGUUUCUUUCUGCAUAUUACAAUCCCAAAAACGUGUCCCGCAGCAGACAAUCUCUGCUGGUGACACAGAGCAGCUCUGAUAAGCAGCUGAGGACCACGGGUCCGUGAGCCGCCGGCGCCAAUAUCUGAGGCAAACAGGAUAACAACCGUGCCGCUGAAACCACCACGUGGAGAAGCUCUAAUCACACCAGUCUGGGCAGGAACGGCAUUCGAUUCAGCUGGCAACAGGAAUCAAUCCGCUACAAUAACAGUGUCUACCUGAUGAUUUUAGAGGAAUUAUUGGACAUAAAAGAUAAGAAUGGCUGUCGAACCCUGGAAUGGCUCUGUUAUGGCUCUAUAAUGACUCUGGACACCUGCUGGAGGUGACGACAAAUGUCAGAGAGGCAGUCGGGUGUCUUUAUGUGGAAAUAACCACAAAGCCAAUAACCAUCGUCCCCGCUGAGCCAACCAAGACCAAAGACUUGAUUAGCUAACCCUGAAACAUCCACAUUUGUAUCACUAUUUAAGCCGAGCGUGCCCCCCCCCCCCCACGUCCCCCCCCCCGUCAUGCUUCUCUUCAGGACCUGCUGAAGACCGCGAGGAUCCAACCACUCUUUGUUUUCUGCGGUUUUCUUCCUUUAAAUACAC
Molecule: long non-coding RNA, 1039 nt
Filed under: Takifugu rubripes (torafugu)
Lineage: Eukaryota; Metazoa; Chordata; Actinopteri; Tetraodontiformes; Tetraodontidae
Description: lncRNA (ENSTRUG00000029880.1)
Source: RNAcentral